AGCGAACGCUGGCGGCAGGCUUAACACAUGCAAGUCGAGCGGGCAUCCUUGUGGUGUCAGCGGCAGACGGGUGAGUAACGCGUGGGAACGUGCCCUUCGGUUCGGAAUAACUUAGGGAAACUUGAGCUAAUACCGGAUACGUGCGAGAGCAGAAAGGUUUAUCUGCCGAAGGAUCGGCCCGCGUCUGAUUAGCUAGUUGGUGAGGUUAUGGCUCACCAAGGCGACGAUCAGUAGCUGGUCUGAGAGGAUGAUCAGCCACACUGGGACUGAGACACGGCCCAGACUCCUACGGGAGGCAGCAGUGGGGAAUAUUGGACAAUGGGGGCAACCCUGAUCCAGCCAUGCCGCGUGAGUGAUGACGGCCUUAGGGUUGUAAAGCUCUUUUCUCCGGGACGAUAAUGACGGUACCGGAGGAAUAAGCCCCGGCUAACUUCGUG
This 437-nucleotide ribosomal RNA is filed under the name uncultured bacterium. Its description in RNAcentral is "partial 16S ribosomal RNA". It matches the Rfam family "Bacterial small subunit ribosomal RNA", at positions 29 to 507 of the family's 1533-position model. The record is from RNAcentral.